CCUGGGACCCAGACACCCUCAUCCCAGGAGUUGGUGACAUUCAAGGAUGUGGCUGUGGAAUUCACCAAGGAGGAGUGGCACCUCUUGGACCAUUCUCAGAAAGAGUUGUACAAGGAGGUCAUGCUGGAGAAUGCCCAGAACCUGCUCUCUGUGGGUGGACUGACCAAGUUUGAAGUGAAGGAGAUGGCUACAAAGGUG
Dromiciops gliroides (monito del monte) is the source of this 198-nucleotide long non-coding RNA. RefSeq lists it as uncharacterized. The record is from RefSeq and is a predicted model, not a curated record. Lineage: Eukaryota; Metazoa; Chordata; Mammalia; Microbiotheria; Microbiotheriidae. The transcript is spliced from 3 exons.